GGGACACUGCUGGCCAAGAAAGGUAUAGGGCAGUGACAAGUGCAUACUAUAGAGGUGCAGUUGGAGCAAUGUUAGUUUAUGACAUGACAAAGCGCCAAUCUUUCGAUCAUAUGGCAAGGUGGCUAGAGGAAUUGAGGGGACAUGCUGAUAAGAACAUUGUAGUAAUGCUAAUUGGCAACAAGUGUGACUUAGGAAGUCUUCGAGCGGUGCCUGUAGAAGAUGCCCAAGAGUUUGCACAAAGAGAAAAUCUAUUCUUUAUGGAGACAUCAGCUCUUGAAGCAACCAAUGUUGAAACUGCUUUUUUGACAGUACUAACUGAGAUUUAUCGAGUUAUUAGCAAGAAAACUCUUUCUGCUAAUGAUGAGCAUGAUGCUAAUGGGACUUCAGGCCUUCUAAAGGGAACCAGGAUCAUUGUUCCAGUCCAGGAUCAAAAUCUUGGAAAGAAAGGUGGUUGUUGCUUUUCAUCAAGCUAAUUCUAACUUACCAAUUUUGUUUUUCCUUCUGAAAUUGUUCUUUAUUUAAUUAGGAUCUACUGUUUCGAACAAAUUCAUGAUGUAUUGUUUAGAAUGUGGGUAUCGAUGUUGUUGGAUGAUAGGUUAAGGCUGUCUAUAUGUUAUUCACAUUGAAUUAGAUCAUCGUAAUUCGUGGAAAGUCAUUAC
Molecule: unclassified non-coding RNA, 659 nt
Filed under: Hevea brasiliensis (rubber tree)
Lineage: Eukaryota; Viridiplantae; Streptophyta; Magnoliopsida; Malpighiales; Euphorbiaceae
Source: RNAcentral